This 544-nucleotide ribosomal RNA is filed under the name Salmonella enterica subsp. enterica serovar Paratyphi B var. L(+) tartrate +. RNAcentral's name for it is "partial 23S ribosomal RNA". It matches the Rfam family "Bacterial large subunit ribosomal RNA", at positions 804 to 1345 of the family's 2925-position model. Lineage: Bacteria; Pseudomonadati; Pseudomonadota; Gammaproteobacteria; Enterobacterales; Enterobacteriaceae. The record is from RNAcentral.
AUGACCUGUGGCUGGGGGUGAAAGGCCAAUCAAACCGGGAGAUAGCUGGUUCUCCCCGAAAGCUAUUUAGGUAGCGCCUCGUGAAUUCAUCUCCGGGGGUAGAGCACUGUUUCGGCUAGGGGGCCAUCCCGGCUUACCAACCCGAUGCAAACUGCGAAUACCGGAGAAUGUUAUCACGGGAGACACACGGCGGGUGCUAACGUCCGUCGUGAAGAGGGAAACAACCCAGACCGCCAGCUAAGGUCCCAAAGUCAUGGUUAAGUGGGAAACGAUGUGGGAAGGCCCAGACAGCCAGGAUGUUGGCUUAGAAGCAGCCAUCAUUUAAAGAAAGCGUAAUAGCUCACUGGUCGAGUCGGCCUGCGCGGAAGAUGUAACGGGGCUAAACCAUGCACCGAAGCUGCGGCAGCGACACUGUGUGUUGUUGGGUAGGGGAGCGUUCUGUAAGCCUGUGAAGGUGUGUCGUGAGGCAUGCUGGAGGUAUCAGAAGUGCGAAUGCUGACAUAAGUAACGAUAAAGCGGGUGAAAAGCCCGCUCGCCGGAAGAC